This 71-nucleotide transfer RNA is filed under the name Stegodyphus mimosarum. It matches the Rfam family "tRNA". Rfam says of the family: Transfer RNA (tRNA) molecules are approximately 80 nucleotides in length. Their secondary structure includes four short double-helical elements and three loops (D, anti-codon, and T loops). Further hydrogen bonds mediate the characteristic L-shaped molecular structure. tRNAs have two regions of fundamental functional importance: the anti-codon, which is responsible for specific mRNA codon recognition, and the 3' end, to which the tRNAs corresponding amino acid is attached (by aminoacyl-tRNA synthetases). tRNAs cope with the degeneracy of the genetic code in two manners: having more than one tRNA (with a specific anti-codon) for a particular amino acid; and 'wobble' base-pairing, i.e. permitting non-standard base-pairing at the 3rd anti-codon position. The record is from Rfam by way of RNAcentral. Lineage: Eukaryota; Metazoa; Arthropoda; Arachnida; Araneae; Eresidae.
GCUUUCGUUGUGUAACGGUAGCACUUUCGGCGCGUAUUCAAGAGGUCCAGGUUCGAAUCCCGGCGAGAGCA